GAGGGUGACAGGUGGUGCAUGGUUGUCGUCAGCUCGUGUCGUGAGAUGUUGGUUAAGUCCCGCAACGAGCGCAACCCUCGACCUUAGUUGCCAGCAUUCAGUUGGGCACUCUAAGGUGACUGCCGGCUAAAAGUCGGAGGAAGGUGGGGAUGACGUCAAAUCAUCAUGCCCCUUAUGACCUGGGCUACACACGUGCUACAAUGGGCGGUACAAAGGGUCGCGAACCCGCGAGGGGGAGCCAAUCCCAAAAAGCCGCUCUCAGUUCGGAUUGCAGGCUGCAACUCGCCUGCAUGAAGCCGGAAUCGCUAGUAAUCGCGGAUCAGCAUGCCGCGGUGAAUACGUUCCCGGGCCUUGU
Molecule: ribosomal RNA, 355 nt
Filed under: uncultured Anoxybacillus sp.
Lineage: Bacteria; Bacillati; Bacillota; Bacilli; Caryophanales; Anoxybacillaceae
Description: bacterial SSU rRNA
Rfam family: Bacterial small subunit ribosomal RNA
Source: RNAcentral